UAGACCACGCUGUUCACCUUCGCACGCUCCUGGCCCUGCGCGCCCUCGGGUGCGCGCGGCUGUUCGGCGGGCUGGUGCGGACCCGACCUGCGCAAGCGCUCGAUGGCAGCCCGUGCGAGGUCAUUGGCAUCGCGCUUGUCGUCAGGCGCGGCAUUGGCUUCGGCUGGCAGCGAUGCGGCCGAAGGCUUUGCAGCGGCCCUCUCG
Molecule: unclassified non-coding RNA, 204 nt
Filed under: Hevea brasiliensis (rubber tree)
Lineage: Eukaryota; Viridiplantae; Streptophyta; Magnoliopsida; Malpighiales; Euphorbiaceae
Source: RNAcentral